UAAACACGUAAACAACCUGCCUUCAGGAUGGGGACAACAGACGGAAACGACUGCUAAUACCGAAUAAGUUCCAAGGGCCGCAUGGCCCAUGGAAGAAAAGGUGGCCUCUACCUGUAAGCUAUCGCCUGAAGAGGGGUUUGCGUCUGAUUAGCUGGUUGGAGGGGUAACGGCCCACCAAGGCGACGAUCAGUAGCCGGUCUGAGAGGAUGAACGGCCACACUGGAACUGAGACACGGUCCAG
Molecule: ribosomal RNA, 241 nt
Filed under: uncultured bacterium
Lineage: Bacteria
Description: partial 16S ribosomal RNA
Rfam family: Bacterial small subunit ribosomal RNA
Source: RNAcentral